RNAcentral lists this ribosomal RNA (467 nucleotides) under uncultured bacterium. RNAcentral describes it as "partial 16S ribosomal RNA". It matches the Rfam family "Bacterial small subunit ribosomal RNA", at positions 28 to 506 of the family's 1533-position model. The record is from RNAcentral.
GACGAACGCUGGCGGCGUGCUUAACACAUGCAAGUCGAACGGAAAGGCCCUGCUUUUGUGGGGUGCUCGAGUGGCGAACGGGUGAGUAACACGUGGGUAACCUGCCCUUGACUUUGGGAUAACUUCAGGAAACUGGGGCUAAUACCGGAUAGGAGCUCCUGCUGCAUGGUGGGGGUUGGAAAGUUUCGGCGGUUGGGGAUGGACUCGCGGCUUAUCAGCUUGUUGGUGGGGUAGCGGCUUACCAAGGCUUUGACGGGUAGCCGGCCUGAGAGGGUGACCGGCCACAUUGGGACUGAGAUACGGCCCAGACUCCUACGGGAGGCAGCAGUGGGGAAUAUUGCACAAUGGGCGGAAGCCUGAUGCAGCAACGCCGCGUGCGGGAUGACGGCCUUCGGGUUGUAAACCGCUUUCGCCUGUGACGAAGCGUGAGUGACGGUAAUGGGGAAAGAAGCACCGGCUAACUACGU